RNAcentral lists this long non-coding RNA (292 nucleotides) under Elaeis guineensis (African oil palm). RNAcentral describes it as "long non-coding RNA (EGUI_LNC020388)". The record is from RNAcentral. Lineage: Eukaryota; Viridiplantae; Streptophyta; Magnoliopsida; Arecales; Arecaceae.
AGAAGUGAUUACAUACCUCAAAAGUCUCCUUUGGCCCUCUAUUUAUAUAUGAUGGCAGAAGUGUCAUAAGAAGCUUGAAGAAUCAGUUUGUUAGUCUUGUCUUAUCGGACGAGAUACAUUUAUUAUAUCUCAAUUUAUCUAGAGAGAUACAUCACUAUCUUUCUUUCUUAUCUACUAAUGACAGAUUAUCCUGGUGGCUCUAGAAUUUAUUUGACUAUUAUAAAUCAGACAACAAUAUCACACAUAAACCUUUUCUAUUAUUAUCAUCUUUGGUCUAUCUUGAAAAUACCUC